GAUGAACGCUGGCGGCGUGCCUAAUACAUGCAAGUCGAGCGAACGGACGAGAAGCUUGCUUCUCUGAUGUUAGCGGCGGACGGGUGAGUAACACGUGGAUAACCUACCUAUAAGACUGGGAUAACUUCGGGAAACCGUAGCUAAUACCGGAUAAUAUUUUGAACCGCAUGGUUCAAAAGUGAAAGACGGUCUUGCUGUCACUUAUAGAUGGAUCCGCGCUGCAUUAGCUAGUUGGUAAGGUAACGGCUUACCAAGGCAACGAUGCAUAGCCGACCUGAGAGGGUGAUCGGCCACACUGGAACUGAGACACGGUCCAGACUCCUACGGGAGGCAGCAGUAGGGAAUCUUCCGCAAUGGGCGAAAGCCUGACGGAGCAACGCCGCGUGAGUGAUGAAGGUCUUCGGACCGUAAAACUCUGUUAUUAGGGAAGAACAUAUGUGUAAGUAACUGUGCACAUCUUGACGGUACCUAAUCAGAAAGCCACGGCUAACUACGUG
This 497-nucleotide ribosomal RNA is filed under the name uncultured bacterium. RNAcentral's name for it is "partial 16S ribosomal RNA". It matches the Rfam family "Bacterial small subunit ribosomal RNA", at positions 28 to 507 of the family's 1533-position model. The record is from RNAcentral.